Molecule: ribosomal RNA, 439 nt
Filed under: uncultured bacterium
Lineage: Bacteria
Description: partial 16S ribosomal RNA
Rfam family: Bacterial small subunit ribosomal RNA
Source: RNAcentral
CUACGGGGUGCAGCAGUGGGGAAUAUUGCACAAUGGAGGAAACUCUGAUGCAGCAACGCCGCGUGGAGGAAGACACUUUUCGGAGCGUAAACUCCUUUUAUAUAGGAAGAAGAUGACGGUACUAUAUGAAUAAGCGCCGGCUAACUCCGUGCCAGCAGCCGCGGUAAUACGGAGGGCGCAAGCGUUACUCGGAAUCACUGGGCGUAAAGAGCGUGUAGGCGGAUUAAAAAGUCAGAAGUGAAAUCCUAUAGCUUAACUAUAGAACUGCUUCUGAAACUCUUAAUCUAGAAUAUGGGAGAGGUAGAUGGAAUUUCUGGUAUAGGGGUAAAAUCCGUAGAGAUCAGAAGGAAUACCGAUUGCGAAGGCGAUCUACUAGAACAUUAUUGACGCUGAGACGCGAAAGCGUGGGGAGCAAACAGGAUUAGAUACCCGAGUAGUC